RNAcentral lists this long non-coding RNA (401 nucleotides) under Trifolium pratense (red clover). RNAcentral describes it as "long non-coding RNA (TPRA_LNC003614)". Lineage: Eukaryota; Viridiplantae; Streptophyta; Magnoliopsida; Fabales; Fabaceae. The record is from RNAcentral.
GGGGCUGCUAACUUAGACCCAAUUGGGUCUAAGUUAGCAAGGUGCACCUUUUCAGUUGGACAAAAAUACUCAUUCUUUUUAAUUAAUUAACCAAAUUACCAUCAAUGGACGCGGAUCCAGUGUCGCGCGCGUACCGCAGGACCAUGGUUACAAACCGUUGAUUUCCAUCAGACAGCCAAGAUCUGAUCUCAUCAAGACUGUCUGAUCAAUCAGACAGCCCAGAUCAUCCGAAUCCUUCAGAUUCCAGCGCGUGCACCACACUGGAUUACACCCUGGAGAGAGAAUAAUCUACUUUUUAAAAGCAGGACACGUGUCGCUGUCUGAUCGGCUGGGCGAGAUUUUUUUCCAUUUAAUACUUUGAACUCAAUUAUUUCGUUGUAAAUUAAUUUUUUUUUUUUNNN